RNAcentral lists this ribosomal RNA (491 nucleotides) under uncultured bacterium. RNAcentral describes it as "bacterial SSU rRNA". It matches the Rfam family "Bacterial small subunit ribosomal RNA", at positions 28 to 520 of the family's 1533-position model. The record is from RNAcentral.
GAUGAACGCUAGCGGCAGGCUUAACACAUGCAAGUCGAGGGGUAUUGGUUUUCGGACCAAGAGACCGGCGCACGGGUGCGUAACGCGUAUGCAAUCUACCUUUUGCAGAGGGAUAGCCCCAGAGAAAUUUGGAUUAAUACCUCAUAGUAUAGUACUUUGGCAUCAAGGAACUAUUAAAGUCACAACGGCAAAGAUGAGCAUGCGUCCCAUUAGCUAGUUGGUAAGGUAACGGCUUACCAAGGCUACGAUGGGUAGGGGUUCUGAGAGGGAGAUCCCCCACACUGGUACUGAGACACGGACCAGACUCCUACGGGAGGCAGCAGUGAGGAAUAUUGGACAAUGGGCGCAAGCCUGAUCCAGCCAUGCCGCGUGCAGGAUGACGGUCCUAUGGAUUGUAAACUGCUUUUANACAGGAAGAAACACUCCGACGUGUCGGAGCUUGACGGUACUGUAAGAAUAAGGAUCGGCUAACUCGUGCCAGCAGCCGACGG